CAGCAGCCGCGGUAAUACGAAGGGUGCAGGCGUUAAUCGGAAUUACUGGGCGUAAAGCGUGCGUAGGCGGUUUGUUAAGUCUGCUGUGAAAUCCCCGGGCUCAACCUGGGAAUGGCAGUGGAUACUGGCAAGCUAGAGUCUUGUAGAGGGGGGUAGAAUUCCAGGUGUAGCGGUGAAAUGCGUAGAGAUCUGGAGGAAUACCGGUGGCGAAGGCGGCCCCCUGGACAAAGACUGACGCUCAGGUGCGAAAGCGUGGGGAGCAAACAGGAUUAGAUACCCCUGUAGUCCCUGUCUCUUAUAC
RNAcentral lists this ribosomal RNA (301 nucleotides) under uncultured bacterium. Its description in RNAcentral is "partial 16S ribosomal RNA". It matches the Rfam family "Bacterial small subunit ribosomal RNA", at positions 509 to 807 of the family's 1533-position model. The record is from RNAcentral.